CCCAGCCUGCGGCGGAAUGUUGCGUUAAGGGAAAGGUCGUUUCAAAGCCCUGCGCAGCGUGUUCCUAAAUACGUCUUGAAUAUUCACGGUCUCCUAACGGAGACUACGGUUCCACAGAGGGUGACAGACCCGUGUGGCCACGUGUAUAUGUGCAUGGGUUCGGCUUCUAUUCCCGGAGAGUCGCGUUGCUUGAGCAUGCAGCGCUAAGCAGGUCGUAAACUCGACCUAAGACUAAAUAUAUCCACAGAACCGAUAGUAAACAAGUACCGUGAGGGAAAGUUGAAAAGCACUCUGAAGAGAGAGUCAAAAGACCGUGAAACCGCUUAGAGUAUAAGCCAAUGGUAAUUCGGAAGGCAAGAGCAGUCCUCAUGCCUUGUCUGGAAGGGUAUCGUGUGUGAAAAAUAUACGGGGGGUGUGGAACAAAGUGGCAUUGAGUUGAUAUCACACCUUUGGUUAAGUUGCGGGUCUCUGACAGUGGUAACAGGGAACGUUGUAAUGCACAACUGAACCGAGGCUGGACUUUAGCAACUGCCCCCUUAUGUGAACACUAACGAGUUGCUAAAACUGCCCACCACAACUCUUUACGAGGUCACCCUCACUCAUGAAGUUGCGUUGCUGGGGCGUCCCUUGGCCGCAAUUGUGUACGUGUCAAGGGCGACCAGCUUCCUCAUGCGUUCCAAGUGAUGCGGUAUGAUCCUCUGUGAAAGGUUGCUUUCUGGCGCAUCCAAGAUAUUACGUUUGCGUUCUAGCCUGGGAGACCUCCCAUGAGAUGUCAGGCUGAGAGUCCCUGUUAGUCUCGACUGUUGAGGAUGAUUGGUGAAUUAUUCCGGAGCCAUUGGUCACGUCUCGAAACACGGGCCAAGGAGAAUAGCAUGUGCGCAAGUCUAAGGGACUCACAAAUCCCGGUGGCGAAGUGAAAGCAAGUGGUGUGUCCGUUGUCAGCUUCGGUUGACGGCGGGCAGCCUGCGUGUUACGUAAUUCCUAUUUGGAUGAAUGCGUCUCCGGCUUAUACCGGGCUAAUCCGGCGCAAUCAAGUCUGAUGACGAUGCGUUGGCGUAAGCCCCAGGCUCUCAAUACGGCACGUACGC
This 1088-nucleotide ribosomal RNA is filed under the name Rhachotropis antarctica. Its description in RNAcentral is "eukaryotic LSU rRNA". It matches the Rfam family "Eukaryotic large subunit ribosomal RNA", at positions 127 to 764 of the family's 3401-position model. Lineage: Eukaryota; Metazoa; Arthropoda; Malacostraca; Amphipoda; Eusiridae. The record is from RNAcentral.